Molecule: long non-coding RNA, 715 nt
Filed under: Zea mays
Lineage: Eukaryota; Viridiplantae; Streptophyta; Magnoliopsida; Poales; Poaceae
Description: drought responsive lncRNA
Source: RNAcentral
CCCCGGCCCAUCCUUCAGCUUAAAGAAAUGUUUCCAUCUCCCUUAUAAAUAGGUUCCUGAACUAGUAUCACUUCGCACACAGAAAAGCAAAACACCAACCCAAGAUCAGAGUAGAUUGUCGUCCGGCAAAAAAGAAAGAAAGAAAGAAAAGCAAGUGAGAUGGUUCUGGGACUUUUCACAUGCUUUGGAGCGGCUCCUGCGAUAAAGGAAAAGAAGCCACCACCUCCAUCUGAAGAACCUAACAAGCAGCAGGCAGCCAGAGAUCAGGAAGCAGCUACUGGCGAAGCGACUGAGCCCAAGAUGCAGGUUGACAGGGCCAUGGUAGUAAAGGAGAAGACAACACCCAUAGUGAUGCAUCAGUUCCCCUUUCAUUCGCGGCCUGGACUGCUGUAAUUUUGCUUGGCUCUUUUUAACGUCAGCGCUUCCGUCUUCUGUCUGAUUUGUGACAUGCAUGGUAUUCGCUUCUCUAGAAGCUUAUAAAGUUAUAUGUUCUUGCUUUCAGAAGUUAGACAAACAUUCAGUAGCAGGGGGAGAGACUGAUAUCUCUGCCUCUAGAGCAAGCUUGUGGUUGUUUCAGUUCUUAAUGCUUCAAGGAUCAAAACAGUAAUAAUUUCUUGUACUAGCUAGGUAUGUAUUCUGAGAAUUUACAUGGCGUUGACGCUGAAUUAGAUCACAAACCAACUAAGACUAGAUCGUUCGAAUCGUCGUGCACCCA